GACGAACGCUGGCGGCGUGCCUAAUACAUGCAAGUCGAGCGAAGUUUUUCUGGUGCUUGCACUAGAAAAACUUAGCGGCGAACGGGUGAGUAACACGUAAAGAACCUGCCUCAUAGACUGGGACAACUAUUGGAAACGAUAGCUAAUACCGGAUAACAGUAUUUCUCGCAUGAGAGAUAUUUAAAAGUUGGUUAUGCUGAUACUAUGAGAUGGCUUUGCGGUGCAUUAGCUAGUUGGUGGGGUAAAGGCCCACCAAGGCGACGAUGCAUAGCCGACCUGAGAGGGUGAUCGGCCACACUGGGACUGGGACACGGCCCAGACUCCUACGGGAGGCAGCAGUAGGGAAUCUUCCGCAAUGGGCGAAAGCCUGACGGAGCAACGCCGCGUGAGUGAAGAAGGAUUUCGGUUCGUAAAGCUCUGUUGUUAGGGAAGAAUGGAUAUGUAGUAACUAUACAUAUAAGAGACG
RNAcentral lists this ribosomal RNA (466 nucleotides) under Gemella morbillorum. RNAcentral's name for it is "bacterial SSU rRNA". It matches the Rfam family "Bacterial small subunit ribosomal RNA", at positions 28 to 474 of the family's 1533-position model. Lineage: Bacteria; Bacillati; Bacillota; Bacilli; Caryophanales; Gemellaceae. The record is from RNAcentral.